This is a long non-coding RNA of Cicer arietinum (chickpea), 1382 nucleotides long. RefSeq lists it as uncharacterized. Lineage: Eukaryota; Viridiplantae; Streptophyta; Magnoliopsida; Fabales; Fabaceae. The record is from RefSeq and is a predicted model, not a curated record.
AUAAAAAUUCUUACAGUUCCCCAUACAUAAUUGCGAUUCCAUUCAAAAUGAUAUAAUUGCAUUCGCAUUUCCAUUUUGCAUCGAAGAAAAAGGAAACUUUCUCUGCCAAUUAAGUUUGAAACACAAAUGGGUUGUUAGCUAGUUGAUUGAUGGAGACAAACUCGGUUUUUCAUGGUGUUGCCAUUUUUAUUCUCUUAUUUGAUGUCGCGAAUGCAAACUCUGAAGUUAAGUAAACAGAUUAAACCCUGUAGGCGUUCAGAAGAGCUGUGAAAGACCCAAAUAACGUUCUACAGAGUUGGGACCCCACUUUGGUGGAUCCUUGUUCAUGGUUUCAUGUUAACUGUGACCUUUAUAACCGGGUUACUAGACAGUAAUUAUUUGUUUAUUUAUUUAGUAUUUUGUCUUCUUUUCCUUUCUUCAAUCGCUCAGCUCUGCUCUGCUUUAUUUAGUUCCUAAUUCAUGCUCAUGCAGAGACCUUGGACAAGCAAAACUAUCAGGCCAUUUGGUUCCUGAGCUAGUGAAACUCACUUCAGUUUCUGUAAGCAACCGACCACUUAAUUUAUAGUAUCUAUAUUUCUUGAGAAAAUACUACUAAGAGUCAGUGAACUCUUGCGGAGAAUUGUACAAGAAUGAUUGGUUGGUCCAAUACCAAAGGAACUUGGAAACCUGAAAAAUCUGAUUAGUUUGAGUCUUUACCGCAACAACCUCACUCCAUCCCUCCCACCCUCUCCAACCUAUUAUCAAAUUCUUGCACUCACAACAACAAGCUAACAGGAAGAACAGGGGAACUCACUAAUGUCACAAGCCUCAAGAUUCUAGACCUGUCAAACAACGAUCUCUGUGGCACCUUCCCCACAUACGGAUCCUUCUCCAACUUCUCUCCACAAAGUUUCCAGAAUUAAUGGGGUUCGUCAGAUAUGACAUUGGAGAGACAUUGCCAGUCUAGGAAAUGUCUAUUUUCCUUUUAUCCAUUUAUUUCUCUCUAAAUUACAACCAUUAUGUGAUGGUCUCAAGAUCUUUACUACCUCGUUGAUGGCCAUGACAAGGAGAUAAAUAUUUGUCGUAUCUUACACUAAUCUUUUGUUUGAUACACCAAUCUGAUAGGAUUAGGAUAAUCAAUUUUUUAAUCCUAUCCUACAUGGGCCUUAUAUUUUUAAUCCUUAAUUUAAGUUAGAUUAAAAUAAUCCUUCUCAAUUUAAUGAAAGUAUAUUUUCUAAUUUUUGCGUUUUCCCUUCCCAUUCAUUCUCUCUCCCUCUCCACGGAUGGUUUCAGGUGUAUAUCCGUAAUAUUGGUUGCUAUAUGUAUAAUGAAAAUUAUCAUGUUUGGGUACUUGCUAUUUCCAAAUAACUCAACCAGUCCAAGAAAAAUGCUUGGGCGAUGAA